This 1527-nucleotide long non-coding RNA is filed under the name Vigna radiata. RNAcentral describes it as "long non-coding RNA (VRAD_LNC016508)". Lineage: Eukaryota; Viridiplantae; Streptophyta; Magnoliopsida; Fabales; Fabaceae. The record is from RNAcentral.
GGAGCCGACACACACUCUUUGAGAUUAUGAUUGGGAAUGUUUUUUAGAGCAGGGGCACUUACUUUGUUUUCCUCUCGGUUUUGGAACGUUUUUUUGGAGCUCUGGAAUGUUUUGGACAUGGUUUUUCAUAAAAUGAAAGAAGAAUACUCUUGUUACUUCAUUUUAUUUCUUUUAUGCAUUUUUAGGUGAGGGUUUUUAUUGCUUCUUAGCUGCAACGAAAAGACAUUCAUUCUAAAUAUGAAGUAGUGUUUUCUCUCCUUUCAUUAAAUGCAAAUACUGUGAUUUAUGGUUGGAGAUUUGUUUCACUGAAGGUUGAAGAAUAGUAAUGUCAACUAGCAUUUGUAGAGCCUUUCAAGUAUUUUAUUUAGUAAAAAGGUGGGGCUGAUUUGGUUAGCUGAUUUACGGCUUUUGCUUUGCUUGUGCUAUCACAUUUGGGAAACACAUUUUCAAUUUCUUGGAAGCACAUGGUGUAUCACGUUACUUUGGUUUUGCUUUUUAGAAUGAUGAAAACUUUGAUUUAGGGAAGGAAGGUGAUUUGAUUUGGGAUGCAGGAGGUGUCACGGCUAAUGAUGAAAGGGUAGAAGAAAUUUUCGUUUUUUCCUUGGAUGCACAUGACGUUAUGGGCAGGCUGGAAAAUAAAAAAUAUAUGCUGAAGGGUAUUGCUUUGGAGGAUGAUGGGAUGUUGUGACAGCUGCAGAAUAGGCACGGCCCCCUUGAGUAGAUAGUACAUGUUCAUUGCAAUUUCCUUUUCAUAGGAGAGCACAUGGAAUUGGUUGAAUCUCCUUGAUGUUUGCAGCACUCCUGCAUCUCUCGGUCAAAAGGGGAGCUUUUUCUUGGGAAGAACGCACUGAAAUAAAUUUCAAUUAAGUACAAUUGCAUUUAAGUUGGUGAGAUACUCGGUCACUAAUUUAUGGAGAAAGCUUGUGAUACCGUUGGUAUUUUCCUGUUUUCGCUAAUAGUGCUUAAUUUGACUGGAAAUUCUAAUUUUAAUUAAUUUGAAUUUUUUGAGCUAAUUAAUUGCAGGAAAAUUUUGGAGAUACAAUUUUGGACAUUAGAGGAGACACCAAUUCAUUCAAGACUCUCCAAUUAGACAUUUUAAAUUUAGUUAUAUUGUAAUUUAAUUGUUUCAAGUUUUUUGACAAACUUGUGCACAUUGGGCCAUUGUUGGCAAAAUUUAUGAUUGGCCCAAAGUUGUAAGACACUUGUCACCCUAGGGUUUCUUUUAGGGUGGAUCCCACCCCUAUUUUUGGAGACACUUGGCCCUAGGAAUUGGAGUAACCAGCCGCUGUAGACUUGGAAAUUCACUCUCGGCAUUUUUCUAAUUGAAGGGGGGCUGCAACGUUUUUAAAAAAAUGUAGGGAGCUACAGCGUUUUUAAGUGGGAGGGUUGGAACGUUUGUCCAUUUUUUUUUCUUUAAACCAUGUCUACGGUGUUUGAUUUUGGAUGAAUUAAGAAGCUGAAGUUUCUUUUUGCUUUUCUCUCUUUACCUGUUCAUUUAGAAAGCUGGAACGUCCAGCAGCUGCCACC